AUUUACAUGAGAGUUUGAUCCUGGCUCAGGACGAACGCUGGCGGCGUGCCUAAUACAUGCAAGUCGAACGGUCUUUUCUAUGGAAGCUUGCUUCCACUGAGAAGAUAGUGGCGGACGGGUGAGUAACACGUGGGUAACCUGCCCAU
This 146-nucleotide ribosomal RNA is filed under the name Trichococcus collinsii. Its description in RNAcentral is "16S rRNA. Bacterial SSU". It matches the Rfam family "Bacterial small subunit ribosomal RNA", at positions 1 to 133 of the family's 1533-position model. Lineage: Bacteria; Bacillati; Bacillota; Bacilli; Lactobacillales; Carnobacteriaceae. The record is from RNAcentral.